This 443-nucleotide ribosomal RNA is filed under the name uncultured bacterium. RNAcentral's name for it is "partial 16S ribosomal RNA". It matches the Rfam family "Bacterial small subunit ribosomal RNA", at positions 338 to 795 of the family's 1533-position model. The record is from RNAcentral.
CCUACGGGUGGCAGCAGUGGGGAAUAUUGCGCAAUGGGCGCAACCCUGACCCAGCGACGCCGCGUGAAGGAAGAAGGCCCUCGGUUUGUAAACUUCUUUUAUCAGGGACGAAACAAAUGACGGUACUUGAUGAAUAAGCCACGGCUAACUACGUGCCAGCAGCCGCGGUAAUACGUAGGUGGCAAGCGUUAUCCGGAUUUACUGGGUGUAAAGGGAGUGUAGGCGGGACUGCAAGUCAGAUGUGAAAACCAUGGGCUCAACCCAUGGACUGCAUUGGAAAUUGUAGUUCUGGAGUGUUGGAGAGGCAGGCGGAAUUCCGGGUGUAGCGGUGAAAUGCGUAGAUAUACGGAGGAACACCAGUGGCGAAGGCGGCCUGCUGGACAAUAACUGACGUUGAGGCGCGAAAGCGUGGGGAGCAAACAGGAUUAGAUACCCCUGUAGUC